Long non-coding RNA from Leopardus geoffroyi (Geoffroy's cat), 545 nucleotides. RefSeq lists it as uncharacterized. NCBI's taxonomy places the organism in Eukaryota, Metazoa, Chordata, Mammalia, Carnivora, Felidae. The record is from RefSeq and is a predicted model, not a curated record. The transcript has 2 exons.
UCCUCUUUUAAAAUUUAUUAUCCAUUUUUAAUAGGGACGUACCCUAAUCAGUCUUUGUUUCCCAUUUACCUAUAUAUCUCAGUGAUGUAUUUUUUUUAUGUAUUCAAAGUGAACAUUUUUUUGGUUAUAAGUUUUCAUCAAUUUCUGCUCAGACUUUCAAUAUCAAUUCUUAGUGACAAUGGCAAAGCACUAGGAAUACCCCUCGUUUGCUGGAAAUUUGCACCAGUACCACUGUGCAAAUAUUAACAGGAUUUUUUUUUAAGUCAUGGCUUUUGAUGAAUAACUCUGGCCUUUUGUCUGUCAUUGCUUUUAGGACUUAGAUUUCACACCUUUAGUAAUGUAAACACAUUUUUUUUUCAUUUAAAUACAACAGAUGAUUAAAAUUUGUGUUAGCUCAGUGCCUGAUUUUUCUUCAGUAGGGAUGAAGUACUCCUUACACAGGAAUUUAUCUUACUUAGCAUUAUAAAGUCCACAAGGAUAGAAAAGGCUGUAAUAAGGCAUAGGGAAGUAAAUUCCUUAUUUGUCCUCUACUCUUUUUGAGACUU